CCGAAACCUGAGCCUGUACGUCCCCCUGAACAACUCUCCCAUGGAGGUUAGUCAGAUGCCUGUAUGUCAACAGUCACUAAAAGUCUGCUUGAUAGGCAACCAUCAAUCAAUGCGUCCAUAUGUCUACAUAGACUUGGGUACGUCCAUGAGCUGAAAAUGUCAGUUCCUUCAGUCUACGUAAUUCCAACAUUUUGUCAAACCACAUAAGGAGGGGCAGACGUAUGUCAUUUUUACAAAAUUAGGGGUAUAACUUGUUUUUCAGUGUUUAAUAUUCGUAUGGUAAGGAAUUUCAUGUAUCUAGCGGUUAGUGUAGUGGUAUGAUGUAAGAGAAAAGGAGAAGUCUGAAAGAGAGAGGGGUGGUUGUCGAAGAACUUCAUCAAGAUGUCAG
This is a non-coding RNA of Pelobates cultripes (western spadefoot toad), 388 nucleotides long. The record is from the annotation of a GenBank genome assembly. NCBI's taxonomy places the organism in Eukaryota, Metazoa, Chordata, Amphibia, Anura, Pelobatidae.